Molecule: ribosomal RNA, 253 nt
Filed under: uncultured bacterium
Lineage: Bacteria
Description: partial 16S ribosomal RNA
Rfam family: Bacterial small subunit ribosomal RNA
Source: RNAcentral
UACGGGGGGGGCAAGUGUUGUUCGGAAUUACUGGGCGUAAAGGGCUCGUAGGCGGCCAACUAAGUCAGACGUGAAAUCCCUCGGCUUAACCGGGGAACUGCAUCUGAUACUGGAUGGCUUGAGUUUGGGAGAGGGAUGCGGAAUUCCAGGUGUAGCGGUGAAAUGCGUAGAUAUCUGGAGGAACACCGGUGGCGAAGGCGGCAUCCUGGACCAACACUGACGCUGAGGAGCGAAAGCCAGGGGAGCAAACGGG